This 473-nucleotide ribosomal RNA is filed under the name uncultured bacterium. RNAcentral describes it as "bacterial SSU rRNA". It matches the Rfam family "Bacterial small subunit ribosomal RNA", at positions 335 to 802 of the family's 1533-position model. The record is from RNAcentral.
ACUCCUACGGGAGGCAGCAGUGGGGAAUAUUGCACAAUGGGGGAAACCCUGAUGCAGCCAUGCCGCGUGUGUGAAGAAGGCCUUCGGGUUGUAAAGCACUUUCAGUAGGGAGGAAGGUAGUGUAGUUAACACCUGCAUUAUUUGACGUUACCUACAGAAGAAGCACCGGCUAACUCCGUGCCAGCAGCCGCGGUAAUACGGAGGGUGCGAGCGUUAAUCGGAAUUACGUGGGCGUAAAGCGCAUGCAGGCGGCCUGUUAAGUCAGAUGUGAAAGCCCGGGGCUUAACCUCGGAAUUGCAUUUGAAACUGGCAGGCUAGAGUCUUGUAGAGGGGUUAGAAUUUCAGGUGUAGCGGUGAAAUGCGUAGAGAUCUGAAGGAAUACCAGUGGCGAAGGCGGCCCCCUGGACAAAGACUGACGCUCAGAUGCGAAAGCGUGGGAGCAAACAGGAUUAGAUACCCCUGGUAGACUGUCA